This 490-nucleotide ribosomal RNA is filed under the name uncultured bacterium. Its description in RNAcentral is "bacterial SSU rRNA". It matches the Rfam family "Bacterial small subunit ribosomal RNA", at positions 29 to 507 of the family's 1533-position model. The record is from RNAcentral.
AUGAACGCUGGCGGCGUGCCUAACACAUUCAAGUCGAACGGUGUUACUUUAGUAGCAAUACUGAGGUAACAUAGUGGCGGACGGGUGAGUAACGCGUGAGCAACCUGCCUUUCAGAGGGGGAUAACACAGGGAAACCUGUGCUAAUACCGCAUGAAGUAUCGUGAUGGCAUCAUCGUGAUACCAAAGGAGCGAUCCGCUGAAAGAUGGGCUCGCGUCCGAUUAGAUAGUUGGUGAGGUAACGGCUCACCAAGUCGAUGAUCGGUAGCCGGACUGAGAGGUUGAACGGCCACAUUGGGACUGAGACACGGCCCAGACUCCUACGGGAGGCAGCAGUGAGGAAUAUUGGUCAAUGGGCGCAAGCCUGAACCAGCCAUCCCGCGUGCAGGAAGACGGCCCUAUGGGUUGUAAACUGCUUUUCCAGGGAGAGAAACUUACGCACGUGUUGCGUGACUGACGGUACCCUGGGAAUAAGCAUCGGCUAACUCCGUG